This 1376-nucleotide unclassified non-coding RNA is filed under the name Hevea brasiliensis (rubber tree). The record is from RNAcentral. Lineage: Eukaryota; Viridiplantae; Streptophyta; Magnoliopsida; Malpighiales; Euphorbiaceae.
UCUUAAUCAAACAAUAGUGUAUUGUUGCUGUAAAAUAUUAGUGGAUUGAGAUAUUUUUUUAUUGCUCUUUCAUCAGCAGUACUUCUCCUUUAUCAUUACCUUACGACAAAUUAUGCUGCAAUCACAGUACUCUUGUAAAUUGACAACUCCCUUGUAUUCAUUGCUACAUCUCUCUAGAGGACAAUCAUACAACACUAAAAAAAUAAUUAAAUGUUUGAAGACGGAAGGCUCUGGUUUCUUCUUCUGUAAUUUUACCACAAGUGAUCCUGAAUUUCACAUCCAUGGCGCCCAGCUCUAAGCUUCACAUCGCUAUGUUUCCUUGGCUAGCCUUUGGUCACAUGAUCCCUUACUUGGAGCUCGCCAAGCUCAUAGCUCAAAAGGGUCACAAGGUCUCCUUCAUCUCCACUCCUCGAAACAUUGAUCACCUCCCCAGACUCCAUCCAAAUUUCGUUCCUCUUAUCACUUUUGUGAGGCUUCCAUUGCCUUGGGUCGACGGUCUCCCAGAAAAUGCCGAGGCCACCUCUGAUGUCCCAUAUGACACCGUCCAAUACCUUAAAAAGGCAUACGAUGGUCUCAAAGAACUCAUAACCAGAUUUCUUGAAACUUCAGAUCCGGAUUGGCUUCUUUAUGAUUUUGUUCCUUGCUGGCUUCCUGAAAUAGCUACUAGGCUUGGCAUUUCAAAUGCUUUCUUCAGUAUAUUCUUGGGGUCGACACUGAGUAUUGCGAAGCCACACUCUGCAAUUGAUGAUCGCAAAAAACCUGAAGAUUUCACUGUCCCGCCCAAGUGGGUUUCGUUCCCUACUAAGGUGACGUUUCGUCUAUAUGAGAUCUUAAGAGUCUUCGACUUCGUAACUGGCAAUACCUCUGAUGUUUCAGACAUGGAUCGUCUGCAAGAGGUAAUUAGAAGCUGCGAAAUGGUUGUUGUGAGGAGCUGCAUGGAGUUUGAACCAGAAUGGUUACAACUACUAGAGGACAUCCAUGGGAAAACGUUUAUACCAGUUGGUAUGCUUCCCACCACAGAAUAUGAUAACGAUGAGCAAAUAGACACGUGGAGGUCAAUCAAACAGUGGCUAGACAAACAGGAGAAAAGAUCUGUAGUGUAUGUAGCAUUUGGUAGUGAGGCGAAACCGAGCCAAGAAGAGCUUACUGAGAUUGCUCUUGGGUUAGAGUUAUCUGGGUUGCCAUUCUUUUGGGUGUUGAGAAUGCGUCGUGGCUUAGCUGAUACUGAGGUUCUGGAAUUACCAGAUGGGUUUGAGGAGCGAGUCAAGGGACGUGGAAUAGUGUGGACGAGUUGGGUUCCUCAACUCAGAAUUAUGGGUCAUGAAUCGGUGGGAGGAUUUUUGACUCACUGUGGUUAUGCUUCAAUUAUAGAGGCC